Molecule: non-coding RNA, 31 nt
Filed under: Mus musculus (house mouse)
Lineage: Eukaryota; Metazoa; Chordata; Mammalia; Rodentia; Muridae
Source: RNAcentral
UAGUAAAAUGGUACAAGUGUCUCUUAGACUU